UUAAUUGAAGCCAAAAGAGAGGCAUAUCACUGUUAAUGAUAAUAAUGAAUAAACAAUUCCAAUUAAG
This 67-nucleotide transfer RNA is filed under the name Euphaea ochracea. Its description in RNAcentral is "tRNA-Asn". The record is from RNAcentral. Lineage: Eukaryota; Metazoa; Arthropoda; Insecta; Odonata; Euphaeidae.